AGGAGUAACUAUGGCUCUCUUAAGAUAGCCAAAUGCCUUGUUACCUAAUUAGUGAC
Molecule: non-coding RNA, 56 nt
Filed under: Mus musculus (house mouse)
Lineage: Eukaryota; Metazoa; Chordata; Mammalia; Rodentia; Muridae
Description: Eukaryotic large subunit ribosomal RNA
Rfam family: Eukaryotic large subunit ribosomal RNA
Source: Rfam by way of RNAcentral